GGGCGACUAGUAUAGUGGUCAGUACAGUUCGUUGUGGUUUCUAACCUCAUUCCGAACAAACCCAGGUUCGAUUCCUGGGUCGCCCA
Podospora aff. communis PSN243 is the source of this 86-nucleotide non-coding RNA. The record is from the annotation of a GenBank genome assembly. Lineage: Eukaryota; Fungi; Ascomycota; Sordariomycetes; Sordariales; Podosporaceae.